CUGUCAUCCAUGGGAGGCAGCAGAUUGGAGCGGAGAGCCAGGCACUUGACUAGAAGUUACUUGAGGAGAAGACCUUCUCCUAUAGAUUUUUGCAGACUGUGGAUUUGGCACCCCAGUUUUUACUUCAUAAAUGCUGAGGAAAUAUUUCCUUGCUGAAUAAUUUGAAAAUACGGAAGAGAUUGAUCAAUACACUCAUCUUUCUGCAAUCAUCUGAGAGGCCAAAAUGGCCUUGGGGAUGAUGUAUGACACACACAAUGUGAGUCCCUAAAAGCUUCUGGUCUCUGAAGGUUAUUACAGAGACAACCAUGGGAAGUAAUAAAGCUGUGUCGUUUAUU
RNAcentral lists this long non-coding RNA (335 nucleotides) under Equus caballus (horse). Its description in RNAcentral is "lncRNA (ENSECAG00000055136.1)". Lineage: Eukaryota; Metazoa; Chordata; Mammalia; Perissodactyla; Equidae. The record is from RNAcentral.